Molecule: ribosomal RNA, 1152 nt
Filed under: Triticum aestivum (bread wheat)
Lineage: Eukaryota; Viridiplantae; Streptophyta; Magnoliopsida; Poales; Poaceae
Description: partial small subunit ribosomal RNA
Source: RNAcentral
AUGGCAUCGGCAGUAGGGGGCGGCAUUGACGGAGCAGCAGCGGGGACGACCAAGAAGAAGAAGAGAAUCUCCGACUGCCUCGUCGACAGCGACGGCGGAGACGAGGUGGCGGGGGAGGACGCCAUGCCGCCCUCGCCGCCUUCCCCCGGCACGCCGCGGCUGCGCAUCCCGGUGUUCACCUGCGCGCGGCUCCGGUUCGUCAGGCUCGGCAGGAAAGGCGGCGGCGGGCGGAAGGAUCAGGUCGCCGCCGAGAAGAGCGAGGCCGCGUCCACGGACUCCUCAGCAGCAGGAUGGAAAGCGCCGAGCAGCGGCGCGUCGCCGACGGAAACUGCCGGCAUGGGGCUGAGCCUGCUGUUCCUCCUCGCCAAGACAUGCGUAGAGCUAAACAAGAUGGCCGAGGUGCGCGCGGAGAUGGAGGCGCUCCUGCGGGAGAUGAGGGACCAGCUGGUGGUCAGGACGACGAAGGUCGGCACGACGACUGCUUCGCCGUGCCAGUGCCACGCUUCGUCCCGUACGCGCACGGACGGCCAAGACGCCGGCGCCACUUCUUCGUCUUCUCCCGAACCGGCGCGUCCUCGCCAUUUCCGUCGUGAUAAGCGCGCUGGACGGAAGCGGAGAGACGGGCCGUUCUACGCGCUGACAGGAAACCCGCUGUUCGACCUCGAGCGAGAACCGUGUGGCCGCGCUGCCGCCUCCUCUUCUGCCAUGGAGACCGCGAGCGAGACGUCGUCUGAAGUGGAGGACCCAUCGGGCUUCAUGGCUGGGGAGCAGUUUCAGCUCAACUGCCGCACCGAGCAAGGAACACCCGAGUCGUCGUCGGACGGGCAGUCGUUCAUCGAGCUGGAGGGGGGGUUCGGAGCCGGAGCCGGUAGAGGCGGCUACAGUGCAAGGCGGUGGCGAGAUUCAGAGGACGGACAGGGGGAGGAGGAGGAGGAGGAGGGGCGCGGCGACGAGGGGGUGUCGGCGGUGGAGCUGGAGAGGCGGCUGCAGGAGCUCCUGCACCGGAGGAGCCGGGAGCGGAUCGAGGAGCUGGAGGCGUCGCUGCGGCGCGCGGAGCGGAAGGUGAUGGAGAAGGAGAUGGAGGCGCGGCUGUGGAAGGACACCGCCAAGCUGGCGCUGCAGCCGGGCACGCGCGGCGGUACGGGGCAGUGA